Nicotiana tabacum (common tobacco) is the source of this 1935-nucleotide non-coding RNA. The record is from RefSeq and is a predicted model, not a curated record. Lineage: Eukaryota; Viridiplantae; Streptophyta; Magnoliopsida; Solanales; Solanaceae.
GAGAGACAGGUGCGAUUCCUCCUCAUUUCUCAUCCAGUUGCAUUUCCUCGUUGGGUCAUAUAUUGAUUUUUACGCGUCGGAGAGAGAGAGAGAGAGAGAGAGGAAUCAGAUCAGCAAGUUUCAUUUUUUCCGAUAUCUUCUCUCUCCGUCGGCCAAUUCCAUUUCCGUUAAAACCUUUUGCCCGUCGCCACCAUGAACGAGAAGGCUAAUGUUACAAAAGAGCUUAAUGCUAAGCACAGAAAGAUACUAGAAGGACUUCUUAAAUUGCCCGAGAACAGGGAAUGUGCAGAUUGCAAAGCCAAGGGUCCUAGAUGGGCAAGCGUGAACCUGGGGAUAUUUAUUUGCAUGCAAUGCUCUGGGAUCCACAGAAGUCUGGGGGUGCACAUAUCGAAGGUCAGAUCAGCUACUCUAGACACAUGGCUUCCUGAACAAGUUGCAUUUAUUCAAUCAAUGGGAAAUGAGAGGUCUAAUAGUUAUUGGGAAGCAGAGCUGCCUCCAAAUUAUGAUAGAGUUGGUAUUGAGAAUUUCAUCCGAGCAAAAUAUGAAGAUAAGAGGUGGGUCCCUAAGGAUGGGAUACAAAAACCACCUUCCAGGGUUCAAGAAGAGAGGGCUUCAGUGCAAUGGCAACAAAACAGUGAUAGAAGUGGGCGUGGACAUGCGACUAACUCAGGGGUUGCAUCUGAUGAGAGGAAGAACGUUCAAGCCCCGAACACAAAGCAAGAUAUACCUGCUGCUAGAGUCAGUAUACCACUGCCUCCUAGAGGGCCAGAGCAUGUAAGUUCGAGUCAGGUUGCUUACCAGACAAAUCAGAAAGCAGAGCCUGUUGUAGUCGCUGAAUCUAUAAAGCAGGUUGCAGAAGCUACGAAUCCUCCUAAAGUUGAUUAUGCUACUGAUCUUUUUGACAUGCUUUCUAUGGAUUCUCCAAGUGACAAUGGCUCGGAAGCAGCUUCUACCGAUGAUAACUCNCCCCUUUUUUUUUUUUACAAUUAACAUUUAGAGACUGCUCAAGAAGCAACAAAAGCAGAAAAAACGGGGGCUACAAAAACUGAUGAUCAGAAGUCUCAAUCUGCUUCUGCUUCUGGAAUUGAAGAUUUAUUCCAGGAUUUACCAUCAAUUCUGCCUUCUGCCUCAUUCGGGAAGCCGCAGAAAGAUGUAAAAAAUGAUAUAAUGAGCCUUUUUGACAAGUCCAAUAUGGUGUCACCUUUUGCUAUGCAUCAACAACAGCUCGCCAUGCUGGCACAACAACAGUCUUUACUAAUGGCUGCGGCUGCUGCUGGUGGCGCUGUAAAAAUUCCUGUGAAUGCACAGCAAGGCCCUAACGGCGCCAAUAUGGUAAAUCAAAAUUGGCCAAAUUUAGGCUAUCAGUUCCCUGGUGUGAUGAUGCCAGCAGCUGGUAAGACUGAGCCGGAGAAAUAUAUGCAGGUAGGCAAUAUGGGACCGACACAUGUAGUUGGGAACGCUGUGCCACUUUCAACAUCCAGCUUCUACUCGAUGGGACAAAAUUCUUCCAGCAACGGUAUUUUGCCGUCUGGACCUAGCAUGCAGGCAGCUACUCCUAUUUCAUCAAGUUCUACGCAGUCGACAAAAGAAUACGACUUUUCCUCUUUGACGCAGGGGAUGUUCUCAAAACGCUGAAAACUCUACACGAGAAAGGAAGCAUACUAGUUGUUAGUAUACAAAUUGUUUUUUCCACAGGGAAAUUAGCUUUUGUUGUUCUACUCCUGCUUUGGAGAUUGUAAACUAAUGUAGAGGGAGCAAUAUUGAGUUUUCAGGUUAUGGCUUGAUUUGUAUUGUUGUAUCUGGAAAAAAAUAAGCGCUCAAGAUUGGAUGGAAUUCGAUUCUUUUCCUCCCUUUCCCUCAUUCAUGCAUUUACUGUUCUGGGUGAUGUUCCCCUAUAAUCUCCCUUAAUCUAAAGAAAUGCUAUUUUCCGUUUUA